GAUCCUGGCUCAGGAUGAACGCUAGCGGCAGGCUUAACACAUGCAAGUCGAGGGGCAGCGCGGAGUAGCAAUACUCUGGCGGCGACCGGCGGAAGGGUGCGUAACACGUGAGCGACUUGCCCGUCACAGGGAGAUAACCGCUGGAAACGGCGACUAAUAUCCCAUAUGAUGGCGAUCUGCAUGGAUUGUCAUUGAAAGAUUCAUCGGUGACGGAUAGGCUCGCGGGG
RNAcentral lists this ribosomal RNA (227 nucleotides) under uncultured bacterium. RNAcentral's name for it is "partial 16S ribosomal RNA". It matches the Rfam family "Bacterial small subunit ribosomal RNA", at positions 15 to 238 of the family's 1533-position model. The record is from RNAcentral.